This 3398-nucleotide long non-coding RNA is filed under the name Gallus gallus (chicken). RNAcentral describes it as "lncRNA (ENSGALG00010026713.1)". The record is from RNAcentral. Lineage: Eukaryota; Metazoa; Chordata; Aves; Galliformes; Phasianidae.
AGAAGGCUUUUUUCCACAUGAAAAAUGGUUUCAUUGGACAGUGACACUUCAUUAGCUGUCGACUUAAGUCUGGUUUGGAUCUUGCCUUUGUAGCGAAUUUCAGCUUUAAAAGAAAUACAGGCUGUGGUCUGCAUGCCACACGUGGUUUGUCAGGUCACUUCCAGUAGUUCUUCCCAUUUACAUCACAAGUCCAUGUAGGUGUAGCAGGGAGUUCACAGAACUGAGGAGCACUCUGCGCUGGCCCACACCAGUUUGUCCAACAAUGAGACGGGGCUGGUUUCUCUAACCAUUCUCCUUUUGCCAUUUCACAGUUUGGCUGCUGUUCUCAGUCAGCAACGGGUAUCUAUCUUCAAACCACAGUGACACACGAGGACAGUUUGAGCAUGAGUGCUGUCACUGUCGCGAAUGGAAGAGCUCAGAUUUUCCACUCACAGAUUCACCCUAACAAAGAUUUUUUUUGAGCCAUGGAUUUGUGCAUGUUUCCCAUUGCCAGAAGCCAACAGCUGUGAAACAGCUCACUCCCAAGUUCGGGAAGCUAAGGCAAUAAACCAGUGAUAAAACCUGUUUCCUCCUCCUCCACAAAGAGAUUCCUGCAAUUUAAGACAGGUGUUGAUGAUCAAGGUUGAAUCUACAUCAGCUUCAAGCAAUACAGGAAGAAAGAUUGGUUUUCUGCCACGGUCCCAGGCUGUGGGACUGCCGAUGAAAUCACAGCCACCAAAAGCACCUGUUGGCACAACAGUCAUGACUUCAUUUGCACUCCACAUAAAGAUGCUGAAGAGAAGCAGAGAGAACCAGUCCUUAUUUAUUUUUAGAUGGAAUACCCAGUGCAGAAAAUAGUUACUACUCUAUCAGUGGCUUCUGAAAAGUUGUGAAUUUAUAGUCCAUGCUUUGCCAAGGCUGUCAGAACUGAGCUCGAUGGCAUAGACUUUAAGAAAAAAUAGUACAGCUUUUCCAUUGUUUAAGAAAAAAACAAAAACAAAUAAGAAACAGAGAAAGAGGGCAGGAGACUCACAAAGACUGUAGAAAGGACAAUCUGUGUCAGGACUGUACAGAAAGAUAUGAACAAAGGGAGCAAUCUGCAACAUGACGAAGGUUUGUACUGAUUCUAUGAAGUCCAGCUACCGACCUACAGAAGUGACAUUCACCAGUUUCUUGCUUCAUUGGUAAGACAGACAUUUUGUCCUCCAUCCAAAUGGGUAGUGGUCUCUUGUUUGAAACCAGAACAAUUUCCUGGUGAUGAGAAGCAAACACCUACAACUUAAGUGGAAGGCUUCUGUUUAAGCUAGGGACUAGGGAGCAGAAAUAAAAUCACUGCUCAAAAUACGCAUCACAAUCAUAAUCCACAGACAUUUUUCUGAGACAAAAAGGUGGACAAUGCAGACCUGUAGGACUAUAUACCUAACCCAAAAACUUCUUCACAGCAGCUAUAUUUUCCCAUCGAGUAUACAGUGAGAAGAAAGUUCCCGCUCCUAGUUCACAUGAGAAGAAAUAAGAAGACAAAUUAUAUUGAUGGCCAAUACUUUUGUAUGCAUUGCACCUACUCUGUAGUCUGGUGCUAACAGGGCUCGCUUUCCAACACCACUAAUAAGUUACCUCCGUGUUUAAAGAUUAAAAGCCAGGAUGCAGGAAGGAAUACUUAUUACUGCACAGUAUUUUACCACUGAACUUGUAAGCCAAGUAUCAGACUCAGCUACACAACAGUACUAAAUUUCUAACUUUUCCUGCCUGAUGUAUCUUUCAUCAUACUCAAGGUUGCCAUACACAAAGAUUAACAGGAGACCGCAUCAUGUCCUGCUCUGAGCUGGUUUGAGCAUGGAGUUACUUGUCCCACAGCAGCACAGCCACAUAGACAAAGCUCUGAGGCAACAUUUGGGUCCAUUUCCCUGAGCUCUAUCACAUAAGGAAGCCAGGCCUAGCUGAUUUCACACUACAGAUUGAAAGAGGUUGGGGAAUUGUUACAUUCAUUCUUAAACUUGAGCAACCAUCAAUGCAAAAAGGGGCAUCAACCACUGCCCACUAUCGUUCACUCAGUGUCACAUCCUGCAUCAGGACUAAGCAUCAUGGUUUACGUCCCCACAUGCCACUUUAAACUGCCUCUGCACUGAGCUGUACACCACUUCCACACCUUCCAUUUGCAUAUAAACACCCACCUUUGUUUAAAGUGUAACUUUAUGGGCUCACAAGGUAGCACUUGGGGCUGGGAUUCAGGAGAACAGAGCACCACACCUAGUGCUCCUUCUGCCCCCAGCCAACAUACUCCUCUGCUUUAUGCCCGUCUCACAGUUAAGGGUGGGUUAUAGUGGUACUCUAUUCCCACACAGACCACCGCGAUUCCUGGGCCAAAAGCACUGUGUAAGAGCUGGACACCAUUACAGUGGUGUCAGAGGGGCAUCAGAGCUGCACUCACAUUUGGUGAACCGCAGGAAACCAAACACCUUCUCCAGCAGUUGUCUACUCAUGGUCAUUACACAACACUGUCACACUCAGUCACCACCAGAAUAGCACAGGAACUGGGGAACACUCAAAUAUGGAGUCACCUCCUCAUACAUCACAGGAACGUUAUGAGGGCUUUAUCUGUUGAUCAUAUACAUUUUUGAGAUACUUGCUUGACCUGAACUACCAAAAUACUAUUUUUAAACAUUCUUGUAUUGCUUUCCAAAUACAGCAUGGCUGAAUGUGAGAAAGCUAGAACAAAACAGAAUUUGGACCUGAUUCUACAAGUGAUAUUUAAGGACUUACUUGUACCAUGAGUUUGAGCUGUAAAUGAAUACUCAGUGCAGAAGAUAGGAAUUACUCUACCAGCAGUUUCUGAAAAGUUAUUAUGGUUCUUUUGCCAAGACUGUCAAGAGCUGAGGAACUCUAUUUUAAGAAAAAAGAAAAAAAAUGUUAGUUUUUCCAUUGUUUAAAACAAACAAAAAACCCAGAAGAAAUACCAAAUGUUCUCUUACAGCUUUUAGUGUGCCUCAGCGUCCAACAGCUUAUAUUAUACAGACAGAUAUGUUUCCACCCCCUAUCCUGCAAAUCUCAACGCCUUCACCAUCCGAACUGAUCCUCUGAGAUUUGGAUCCUUCCCAAGUUCGUUUAACUUGAUCAAUUUUUAAUGGCUGUCACUGGUUAUUUCACCCAGUCAGUCAACAGCUUCUACAGUUCAAAACAGCAGCCACUCUCCUCCCGCUCUGGCGUAACACAGGGCUCAGGAUCUACAGAAAUUAUUCAUCUGCAUCAUAAAGAACUUGAAGGAACUGUAAAAGAGAUUGAUCCCUGACAGCCGCACUAAACUUGAAAGCCCCUUCCUGGCUCUGAAGAAGGAGAAUUCUGACCUGAAAAGGGGUCUUGAGUGAACAGCCUCAAAGGGAAUAAAAUAUUAGCCUGUAAAACCAGCACUCACUAGAAAACUC